GACGAACGCUGGCGGCGUGCUUAACACAUGCAAGUCGAACGGAAAGGCCUCUUUCGGGGGGUACUCGAGUGGCGAACGGGUGAGUAACACGUGAGUAACCUGCCCUUGACUUUGGGAUAACUUCAGGAAACUGGGGCUAAUACCGGAUAGGAGCUCCUGCUGCAUGGUGGGGGUUGGAAAGUUUCGGCGGUUGGGGAUGGACUCGCGGCUUAUCAGCUUGUUGGUGGGGUAGUGGCUUACCAAGGCUUUGACGGGUAGCCGGCCUGAGAGGGUGACCGGCCACAUUGGGACUGAGAUACGGCCCAGACUCCUACGGGAGGCAGCAGUGGGGAAUAUUGCACAAUGGGUGGAAGCCUGACGCAGCAACGCCGUGUGCGGGAUGACGGCCUUCGGGUUGUAAACCGCUUUCGCUCAUGACGAAGCUUUGUGUGACGGUAGUGGGUAAAGAAGCACCGGCUAACUACGUG
RNAcentral lists this ribosomal RNA (467 nucleotides) under uncultured bacterium. Its description in RNAcentral is "partial 16S ribosomal RNA". It matches the Rfam family "Bacterial small subunit ribosomal RNA", at positions 28 to 507 of the family's 1533-position model. The record is from RNAcentral.